GGAUAACCUGCCCUUGGGUCCGGCAUAACCCCGGGAAACUGGGGAUAAUUCCGGAUAACGCAUAUAUGCUGGAAUGCUUUAUGCGUCAAAUGGAUUCGUCUGCCCAAGGAUGGGUCUGCGGCCUAUCAGGUAGUAGUGGGUGUAAUGUACCUACUAGCCGACGACGGGUACGGGUUGUGAGAGCAAGAGCCCGGAGAUGGAUUCUGAGACAUGAAUCCAGGCCCUACGGGGCGCAGCAGGCGCGAAAACUUUACAAUGCGGGAAACCGUGAUAAGGGGACACCGAGUGCCAGCAUCAUAUGCUGGCUGUCCAGGUGUGUAAAAUACACCUGUUAGCAAGGGCCGGGCAAGACCGGUGCCAGCCGCCGCGGUAACACCGGCGGCCCGAGUGGUGAUCGUGAUUAUUGGGUCUAAAGGGUCCGUAGCCGGUUUGGUCAGUCCUCCGGGAAAUCUGAUAGCUCAACUAUUAGGCUUUCGGGGGAUACUGCCAGACUUGGAACCGGGAGAGGUAAGAGGUACUACAGGGGUAGGAGUGAAAUCUUGUAAUCCCUGUGGGACCACCUGUGGCGAAGGCGUCUUACCAGAACGGGUUCGACGGUGAGGGACGAAAGCUGGGGGCACGAACCGGAUUAGAUACCCGGGUAGUCCCAGCCGUAAACGAUGCUCGCUAGGUGUCAGGCAUGGCGCGACCGUGUCUGGUGCCGCAGGGAAGCCGUGAAGCGAGCCACCUGGGAAGUACGGCCGCAAGGCUGAAACUUAAA
Molecule: ribosomal RNA, 760 nt
Filed under: uncultured archaeon
Lineage: Archaea
Description: bacterial SSU rRNA
Rfam family: Archaeal small subunit ribosomal RNA
Source: RNAcentral